UGGGUUGGGAAAAGUCACACAUGAACGAUUGU
RNAcentral lists this non-coding RNA (32 nucleotides) under Mus musculus (house mouse). Lineage: Eukaryota; Metazoa; Chordata; Mammalia; Rodentia; Muridae. The record is from RNAcentral.